Molecule: non-coding RNA, 1009 nt
Organism: Erythranthe guttata (spotted monkey flower)
Lineage: Eukaryota; Viridiplantae; Streptophyta; Magnoliopsida; Lamiales; Phrymaceae
Source: RefSeq, a predicted model, not a curated record
AAAGGUAUGAAAUUUAUCUUACAAGAAAUAAUUAUCUGAUUAUAACACAGAUUUACGGAUAUAUGAAGUGUCGUAGUGACCACUGGAAAGGGUCCUUGAAGUCAUCAAUAUCAGGAGGUAUGCAUAUAAUAGUGUUCUGAAUAUAAUAGCCUUAAGGUCCACAAUUCUCUGUUCUCAUGAAUUAAUUUUAGGUGUAACUUGUUGGUCUUAUUUCAGGCUGUUGCUCUCUUUUAUGCAGGAACAACUAAAUCCCAUCCACCAAUAUCCGAGCAUCUGUCCCACGAAGCAAAUGACUUCUGGUUAAAAUGUUUACACAAAUUUUUAUUCCCUUCUUACUAAGUCUUCGUGUUCAACUCAUAAAUUUUGCACCAUUUACUAAAAACAAUCUGUUUGAGGUUGUCAAACGUAUUGCGCAUGAUUUUGUUGACGAGGUAAUUACUCGAGUCUCCGUACUCUAUAAUUUCCGUCAAGACUUAUUUGUGUUGGUGUUUUCUCUAUGUGUUGAUGUAUAUCCUUGCGUUCUCAUAACUUCUUUUUCCAGUGGAGUAAACCUCUGAAAUCGGAGUAUGUUAUACAGGUUCAUUCAUCCGAGAUUAUCGUGCCUUAUCAUAAGUCUUCAAGAGCCUUACGCAUUCGUUUUCCUGUGAAAUGAGGUUUAGAAUUCGUUUUGAACAGGAGAUUCUUUUGAACGAAGUGACCUGCAAGAUGACCUGGUUCAAAAUGGAAGUGUCUACCGGUAAUAGGUAGUUUCUUGAUUUUGGCUUGACAAUUUCAUACUUCAUCGAUUUUCAUGCUCUACACUUUCAGGUAUCUUUUGUAAUAUUUCUGUUUAUAUGUAAUAUUUGGUAAUAUUGAUUGUUAAAUCUCUAAAUCUACUAGUACUUAGUUGUGUGAGCAUGUUUCCUCUAUAUGAAGCAGUAUCACAUACAUCACAUGUAUUAGUUUGUUGUUUAUUCUCAGAGAUUUUUUCACAUGAGUAUUUAGUUGUUUACUGAUUAAAUGCACAUAU